UCAAGUCUAGGUGGAUAUGUUUGAAUC
Molecule: small RNA, 27 nt
Filed under: Bombyx mori (domestic silkworm)
Lineage: Eukaryota; Metazoa; Arthropoda; Insecta; Lepidoptera; Bombycidae
Description: ovarian small RNA-1962
Source: RNAcentral